This 2249-nucleotide ribosomal RNA is filed under the name Hylobittacus apicalis. Its description in RNAcentral is "eukaryotic LSU rRNA". It matches the Rfam family "Eukaryotic large subunit ribosomal RNA", at positions 50 to 1888 of the family's 3401-position model. The record is from RNAcentral. Lineage: Eukaryota; Metazoa; Arthropoda; Insecta; Mecoptera; Bittacidae.
GCGGAGGAAAAGAAACUAACAAGGAUUCCCUUAGUAGCGGCGAGCGAACAGGGAAAAGCCCAGCACUGAAUCCCGUGGCCGGUAACGGACACUGGGAAAUGUAGUGUUUAGGAGAAUUCAUUUAUCCUGAAAUAUAUAUUAAUUUAAGUCCAGCUAGAACGUGGCCAUUUACCCAUAGAGGGUGAUAGGCCCGUAGGAUUUAUAAUAUGUUUCAGGGGGAAUUCUCCUUAGAGUCGGGUUGCUUGAGAGUGCAGCUCUAAGUGGGUGGUAAACUCCAUCUAAGGCUAAAUAUAACCACGAGACCGAUAGAAAACAAGUACCGUGAGGGAAAGUUGAAAAGAACUUUGAAGAGAGAGUUCAAUAGUACGUGAAACCGUUCAGGGGUAAACCUGAGACACCCGAAAGAUUCGAAAGAAUUGAUUCAAUGCCUGUCAUUAUUCGCUGUUCUUAAAUUUGUAUGAUGAUACGUGCAAAGUUGUCUACCCGUGGUAGUUAAUUUGUGUUACGGUCACAUCUGUUUUUGAACGAUAGCAAAUAUGAAGGUAUGUAUUUCAUUUCUAGUAGAACGUUGCGAUCUGUUAGAUGUUUAUUUUUAGGGCCUGAAAUGGUAGACUAUUUCUGUUGUAUUGGAAAUAUACCUUCGGUGUCCCGAUAAACUGUCUGAUGGUAUGAUUUGGUUUUAGUUGCCUGCGUGUUACGGGCGUUCAUUGUUUAUGUCAAGUAAGACGUGCAAUUCUGACUAUCGAAAUUUAUUUCGCUACCAGGUUCACGUUGGGCGAUGUUUACUUGUAAACGACAUUUGAACAAACUAAUUACCUAUCUGCAACGAUGGAGUUUUGGGUACUUUCAGGACCCGUCUUGAAACACGGACCAAGGAGUCUAGCAUGUGUGCAAGUCAUUGGGUUUAUACAAAAUCUAAAGGCAUAAUGAAAGUAAAGAUUUAUAUUAUAUAUAAAUUGAGGGAAGAUAGCCUAAUACUUAUUUAAAAGUAUGGCUCGCAUUCCCGGGACGUUCUCAAAUUAUAAUUUGCGAUAAACUGUAUUUUAUAUAGAGGCGUACCUAGAGCAUACACGCUGGGACCCGAAAGAUGGUGAACUAUGCCUGGUCAGGUCGAAGUCAGGGGAAACCCUGAUGGAGGACCGUAGCGAUUCUGACGUGCAAAUCGAUCGUCGGAACUGGGUAUAGGGGCGAAAGACUAAUCGAACCAUCUAGUAGCUGGUUCCCUCCGAAGUUUCCCUCAGGAUAGCUGGCAUUUGAUGAAACGAGUUUCAUCUGGUAAAGCGAAUGAUUAGAGGUCUUAGGGUCGAAACGACCUUAACCUAUUCUCAAACUUUAAAUGGGUGAGAUCUUUGACUUGCUUAAAUAUGAGUCAUAAGAUUUGAAUCGAAGUGCCUAGUGGGCCAUUUUUGGUAAGCAGAACUGGCGCUGUGGGAUGAACCAAACGCUAAGUUAAGGCGCCUAAACAACGCUUAUGGGAUACCAUGAAAGGUGUUGGUUGCUUAAGACAGCAGGACGGUGGCCAUGGAAGUCGGAAUCCGCUAAGGAAUGUGUAACAACUCACCUGCCGAAGCAACUAGCCCUGAAAAUGGAUGGCGCUAAAGUGUUGUGCCUAUACUUAGCCGUUAUAAUACGUAAAAUUGUUAUCUCUUUGCGGGGAUAACAAAAAAUAAUAUUAUAACGAGUAGGAGGGUCGCGAUGAUGUGCGCAGAAGGGUCUGGUCGUAAGACUGCCUGGAGCCAUCAUCGGUGCAGAUCUUGGUGGUAGUAGCAAAUACUCCAGCGAGGCCCUGGAGGACUGAUGUGGAGAAGGGUUUCGUGUGAACAGUUGUUGCACACGAGUCAGUCGAUCCUAAGCCCUAGGUGAAAACCGAAAGUUGAUGCGAUGUAAUAAUUUAAAACAUUAAAUAUACAUCCAUUGGGCGAAAGGGAAUCUGGUUCAUAUUCCAGAACCCGGUAGCGGAACCGUAUAUAAGUCGGGCCCUCGCAAUGAGAGUUCGUCGGGGUAACCCAAAAUGACUUGGAGACGCCGUCGGGAGAUCCAGAAAGAGUUUUCUUUUCUCUAUGAGCAUUCGAGUUCCCUGGAAUCCUUUAGCAGGGAGAUAGGGUUUGGAAUGCGAAGAGCACCGCAGUUACGGCGGUGUCUGGAUUUUCCCCUCGGACCUUGAAAAUCCAAGUGAGGGCCACGAUGAGAUGUCGCACCGGUUCGUACCCAUAUCCGCAGCAGGUCUCCAAGGUGAAGAGCCUCUAGUC